RNAcentral lists this transfer RNA (54 nucleotides) under Xiphinema americanum. Its description in RNAcentral is "tRNA-Arg". Lineage: Eukaryota; Metazoa; Nematoda; Enoplea; Dorylaimida; Longidoridae. The record is from RNAcentral.
AAAAGUUUAGUGGGUUACUACGCUUGGCUUCGAAUCAAGAAAAAAUGACUUUUA